This 80-nucleotide transfer RNA is filed under the name Dreissena polymorpha. It matches the Rfam family "tRNA". From Rfam's summary of the family: Transfer RNA (tRNA) molecules are approximately 80 nucleotides in length. Their secondary structure includes four short double-helical elements and three loops (D, anti-codon, and T loops). Lineage: Eukaryota; Metazoa; Mollusca; Bivalvia; Myida; Dreissenidae. The record is from Rfam by way of RNAcentral.
GUUGUCGUGGCCGAGUGGUUAAGGCGAUGGACCAGAAAUUUUGGGAUCUUCCCGCGCAGGUUCGAAUCCUGCCGCCAUCG